AAACUGACAAUAAUAUUUGACUAUGACUUCCACAUGCACAUUUAUCUGAAUUGGUUAAUGAAUCAAACUAUCCAUCUUGAAUGCGUGCCACUGAAAUGUUAACUUUUUCCUGGGCUUGAAUUAUGUAGCUUAUUUGCUACAUUAGUUUGGUUUCUGCUAUUCUGCAGAAACCCUGCCUAGAUGAAGGUGCAUAAUGUAAACCAGUAAAGACAGCGAUAAUAAUAACGACUAUCAUUUAUCUAGCAUUUGCUCUCUGCCAGUGUUGUGCUAAGUAUUUUAUGUAUAUCAUCUCUGGCAAAACUUUGUGUGAGGUAGACCAUUUUCUUAUCUGCACUUUACAGAUGUGGGGACUGAGACUUCCUUAAGUAACUUUCGAAAGUUCACUUAGCUAACUGAGCUUAGACACAGACUUGCUGCAUUUGGGCUGUAGAAACUCCUUCGUGGAACUCCUGUGAAUAAAGUAAUAAUGUGCACACUGAUGCCGGGAGGGAGACAACAGGACGUGUGUGGCUUUGCCCCAGUGUGGGAACUUCAGGAACGGUUCCUGGAGUUUGUGACUUCUAAAUUGACACUUGAAGAGGAAUGAACUUGGGGCUGGUAAGGAAUAUGUCACAUUCUGUUACAGUGUGAACAAGGAAGAGGAAAAGAGGAGGGAAGGAGAAAGGAAAAAAAAAAAAAAAAAGAAUGGCAAUGAACUAGUGAAAACAGAGUUGCUAAAGCCUGAAACUUGGGUCUCUGAUUUCCUUUUUUCGUCUCACUUCCCACGUCAAAUCCAUAGACAAGUGCUGUCUGCUCCACCUCCAAAAUUAACCCUAAGGUGACUAUAGAGACUGUCUAAGGGAUCUUCUGGCUUUCACUUUUGCCCACAACCCUUCAUUCUUCUCAGAGCAGCAGGAUAUCUGAUUCCACUUUGUGCCCCGCCCUCUGGUCCCUUCCCACUGGGUACCAGGCCCUCAGUGCCCUGGUGAUCUGGGCCCUGCUGCCCUCUCUGACGUUUCCUGGCACCAUGUCUCUAUCCUCCAGCCGCACUGGCAUUUCACUUGCCGCCCAGCGUACACUUAGUAUGGUCUCUAGCCCAUGGCUGGCACAGGGUGACAGAGUAAGAGAGAACAGGAACAAAGUAAAAGAGCAUCCAUCAAUAAUUUACACAAAAGGAAAUCCGUCUUCCUUUUUAUCACAAUCACCAUAAAUCCAGGCAGAAUAAGGGUUGUACAUACCUGAACUUUUGGGAAGCCUGAAAGGAAGUUAUUCAGAGCUGCAGGAGAGGCAAUGUAAACGUUACUGGAUUCUGCCCCCAACUAUAAAGAAUCUGUCUGAAGAGAAUAUUCAUAAAGCUUUGGGAAUUGUUACAGUUAUAUGAAAUGGGCACAUUCUAACAACAUCAAGUAAUGUUUUAUUUUUCUGUCUAUGAGAUAAUUAGUGCCAUUUUAAAAAAAAUCCAAAAUGAAGUCUUAAAUUAGCUUUUGAUAUUUUGAUAAACUGAAUAUUAUUUUUUAUAAGAUAGAUGAACAAGGAUAAAAUGUUUUAUAAAUUUUUAAAAUGCUAAUGUUUUAUGAUUAAAGAAAUGGAGUGGUUACUAUUAUAUUUGCUCAUAGACUCAAUGAACCGGACAGAAAAGCCUUUAAGGGGACAAAAUAGUAAAUACAUUUUAUGAAUUAUGGUAAAUAAAUGUUAAAAGAGAAGACAACAUUCUCAGAAUGAUCAAUAUAAUGUAACAGAAGAAGUUCAAAUAAAAUUAUAUGAUGUCAAAUUAAAGAGAAAAUUAUUGAACAUUAACCAAUAUCUUUUUAAUGUUCUACAGUCUUCAGUCAGAAUAGUCAAUAAUUAUAAACUGGAAAAUAUUUUUUUAUUAAUAUUUAAACUAUUUUUACCCAACUUAAUAUGACCACUUUUUAUAGUCUGUGAUCUGAAUUCUAUCUCUCAUUCUAUCUAUGGGUAGUAUGAAGUUCUUUUUAUUUAACUUUCCAGUAAUAAUAUUCAACAUAUUUAAAACACACACACAGCCACAGAGCCAACAUUAUGGAUAUAUGAUCUGUGUAAUUGCACAGGGCCUUGUACUUCAUUUGAUGCUCUGCUGUCACUGUAUUGAAAUUCCUCAUUUUUAGAUAAAGGAACUCUUAUUUUCAUUUCGCACUGGGUUUCACAAAUUCUAUAACGGUCAUGCACGCUCAUACAUGUUAAGUUACACAUUGUGGAUAGCAGUGCAUGUCUUUGAGGUGAUUUCAGUUUGGUGGGAAAAGCAGAUAUUAAAUAUCUAAUUUCAAAGAUGAAAAAUAUUAUUAAAAGAGAAACAUGAUAUAUUAUGUGAAUCAGAAGUUUAAAGUAGUAUAGGCCCGUUUUUAUAUUUAAAUGCAGAUCCAUAAAGACUAAUUUACCUGCCCAACAAACAAGCAACUAUGAGAGGAUGACCUGUAAUUUGAUAAAAUUUAAAUCUUACCAAAUGACUAAUGAACGUCUAUUUACAUGAUCAUGGGUUUUUUUGCUGCAUUCCUAAAUAAACCAUAAAUUUAACAUAAUGCAACAUUCAAAUUGGUAAUAUUUAACCUAGAAUUUUACAGUUGUAGUCGUAAUUGGGUUGUGUUUAUUUUUCAUUUUAUAUUCAACUGAUAUUGGGCUAGUUUUGUCAGGUUAUGCUAGUUUCAUAAAAUAAAUUGGGAAUUCUAUUGUUUUCUAAAACUGUCAACUGUUUAAACGUGUGAAAUAUGUGUUUAAACAUAUUUGUUUCUGACAGACUUACUGGAGUUCAACAAUAAAACUUACUUGAUUUCAUGGAUGAAGCCCAGGGAUAGGAUGAGACUGUCAGUUUUGAGCAUUACAAAUAUGAAAACGAAAAAGGGUUUAUUUUGAAGGCUGAAUCAAAAUGGCCAUGUCGGACUGUCAGAACUUUGCUGGAGAUGGGAGUGUUAGCAUAUCAGUGAUGGCCAGAGCCAUGGAAAUGAAUGCAGAUACUCAACCUGCGUGUUAGAAGACAGAAGAGAGAACUAAUGCUAGCAGGAUCCUUGGGGCAUGAGCAACCCUAAAAAGUUGAGAAAGGGGUGCCCAUCAACAAAACAGACAAAUACAUAGUAGGUAGCAAAGUGGAAAAGUCAGAAGUCAGUGUCCCAGAAGGCAACGGAAAAUAGAAUUUCAAGAUAGAGUAAGUAACCAGUAUUUCCAAAUGUCACAAAGAGGUUGAAAAAUGGAGGUUGAAAAGUGUGUCUAUUAAAUUUGGCAGAGCAGAGAUUAUCCAUGAUCCUCAUGGCAACAGUUUGAGAAGAGCAGUGUAGAUGCAAACAAUAUUCUAGUUUGCAGGGGUUGAGAGAAGAAAGAAAUAAAGUAACAGAGUACAAAUUUUACAAAAUGUUUGGUAAUAAUAAAAGGGAUAGGGUAAUGAUUUGAAAGGCAUGGAAUUUUUUAUUUUCAAUUAUAAGAAACACUUGAGCAUAUUUAUAUAUUACUUGAUAAAAUUAGGUUCUGCAGAACGGGGAAAGCAUGGAACCUAGAAACCCAAGAUAUUCCGUUGAUUUUUUUUUUCUUAUUUUCUCUCCAUUUCUCCCUCCUCUUUAAUUUCUGACCCAAAAUUCUAUAAUUCUGAACAAUCAGGAUCCACUCUUUAUCUGGGACCUAAAUUUAUGUUUCUUACUGAAAUGUUCCCAUUGGCACUCGUCUAAUUCUGGAUUGAGUAUUGGCUUGUCUAAGAAAGAAGUCUAAUAUUUCCCAAAUCGCCUUUCAGAGAGGGCAACUGUAGCUUUUACAUAGAUUGCAUUAUCCAAUCCCUUUAUAUGCUAAUGUUGCAUUGUUGGCAAUCACGGCUUUCUUUUAUAUACAGUCUGGCAUUGCUUAACAAUAUAUUCUGAGAAAUAAUAAAUUAACCUUUGCUUACUGUAACUUUUUUACUUUAUAAACUUUUAAUUUUUUUCAACUUUUUAACUCUUGUCAUAACAUUUGACUUAAAACACGAACACAUUGUACAGCUGUUCAAAAUAUUUUCUUUCUUUAUAUCCUUAUUCUAUACACUUUUUUCUUACUUUUUAAACUUUUUUGUUAGAAACUAAGACACAAACACACGUAUUAGCUUAGGCCUACACGGUGUCAGGAUCAUCAUCACUGUCUUCCAUUUCCACAUCUUGUCCCACAGGAAAAUUCUUCAGGGACAAUAACAUGCAUGAGCUGUCAUUUCUUAUGAUAACAAUGCCUUCUCCUGGAGUACCUCCUGAAGGAGCUACCCCAGGCUGUUUUACAGUUAACUUUUUUUUUUUAAUAAGUGGAAGGAGUACACUCUAAAAUAGUGAUAAAAGUAUAGUAAAAACAUAAACCAAUAACAUAAUUGUUUAUUAUCAAGUAUUGGGUACUGUACAGUACUGCAUGUGCUAUACUUUUAUAGGACUGGCAGUGCAGUAGGUUUGUUUAUGACAGCAUCACCACAAACACAUGAGUAAUGGGUUGUGCUAAAGUUGUUACAAUAGCUACAUGUCACUAAGUGAUAGGCAAUGUUCAGCUCCAUUAUAAUCUUAGACCACUUCCUAUAUGCAGUUCUUUUUUAUACAAUACAUGAUUGUGCUAGAUUUUGGAGGGACUACACUUUUAACCAUUGCCUUUAUAGAACAUUAAUUAGAAAAGAAUACACCUACAACAAAUUUCUUCAUGUAAACUGAAAAGAAUGUAAACAUAUUUUGUUUAAAUCACUGGAUAGAUUCCCUUUAUAUGAUCCAGUUACUAUAUGAAGAUGUCAAACUGUUCUUAUGAGCUCUUGGAGAGCAGUUACUAUCUUAUUCAACCUGGAAUUCUCUGUAGUCAACAGAAUACCUUUCAAUUUACAAAUUCUACCCAAGUAUGACUUGUGGAAAAGGGAGACAUCAGACCGCACAAGUCUUGACUUGCUGUUAUUACACAAAACCAGUACCUGAGCAAACUUGUGAUAACAUCCAAGAAUGUUACAAAACCAGCUACUGAUUGAUAUUGAUAUAUCUAAAGUUCUGAUAAGCUUGUUAAAAUUCUAAUAUUUAAUAUAGAUUUAGACUUCUUUUCCUAAUAUGGAAGACUUCCUAAUAUGGAAGUCUGUCUUGUUGAAAUCCUUUUAUUGUUAGAUUAGAAAUUAAUCCAAACUACCUUUCCUUCAGGCAAGCCAGGUUUGGUACAAGUCAGGUUUCUCAUUGCCUUAGACUAUGAUUGGACUCUUAGUACAUCCAUUAACUCAUAUACGAUGUAAAAUUAUUAGGUUUAUUGCAACAGUAAUGAAAUCAUAAUCUAGAAAGAUACUGUAUGUCCCUGAGUUUCUGGGGUAUCAGUCAUUGUUCUAUGCCAAUAAUGUGUCAAUUAACUGUCAUCCUACAAGCCUGGAACUACCAUUAAUGUUUUCUCCAAAUAAUUUAAUAUAUUAUCUGGCAGUGACAUAUAUAUUUCAACGAUAAGAGCACAAAAAUUGAAAUUUUUAAGAGACGAAAACAAUAAGUCAUGGAGUUUCAUGUGCCGGUGAUUUCUUCUUCAAACCACGGAGCAGUGUGUCAUCUAUGUCUUGAGUGACGAUUUAUUAAAUGUCGGCUGUAUGCUUUCAUUUCCUUGUUUCUUUUUCUAGCAAGUCUCCCCUAUGCUUUACUAAAAUGUUUUUCAAUUAUGUCUUUCUCAUUUAAUGUUUUCAAUUUUUUUUACAUUGACUGAUAAAAUUGUCUGAUUUCAAGUAUAUAUAAAUUGUGAAAUGAAUAAU
This is a non-coding RNA of Chlorocebus sabaeus (green monkey), 5683 nucleotides long. NCBI's taxonomy places the organism in Eukaryota, Metazoa, Chordata, Mammalia, Primates, Cercopithecidae. The record is from RefSeq and is a predicted model, not a curated record.